GGCCGCCGGGCGCACCCGUCCCGUUCGUCCCCGGACGUUGCUCUGGGCCCCAGGAACGUCGAGACUGGGGCGCCCGAAC
RNAcentral lists this microRNA precursor (79 nucleotides) under Octodon degus (degu). RNAcentral describes it as "miRNA (ENSODEG00000021822.1)". It matches the Rfam family "mir-1247 microRNA precursor family". The record is from RNAcentral. Lineage: Eukaryota; Metazoa; Chordata; Mammalia; Rodentia; Octodontidae.